RNAcentral lists this long non-coding RNA (1162 nucleotides) under Apteryx owenii (little spotted kiwi). Its description in RNAcentral is "lncRNA (ENSAOWG00000017423.1)". Lineage: Eukaryota; Metazoa; Chordata; Aves; Apterygiformes; Apterygidae. The record is from RNAcentral.
CUUUUUUGUGCCUUUGGCUACGACUCUGGCCCUUCUCUUCUGCAGGUGCUCAGGAGGCCAUCUGCUCACAACCGGUGAAACGUGGCGGGGCCCAGACUCUCCGCCAGCGCCUCGAAGCCCAGCUCCAGGAGUCGGGGAGACCUGACCCCCUGCUUUUGGAUGCUCUUGUAGCUGAAGUGAUAGUCGUGUUUAGGAGGGUGCUGAAGACAGGCAGUCAAAGGUCAUGGUUGCACCUGCUUUAUGUUUUGCAGCUGCUCAGACCCUUUCAGGAGCAGCUGGGUGGCCACAAGGAGCUGCUGCCCUUGCUGAAGAGCCUCUGCCAGCAAUAUCACAAUGGCCAGGCCUUCGUCCCUGACCUGGAUAUCUUAGGGGCUAUAGGUGAAGUGUUUCCUAAGGCUCACCUGAUGCUGGAUGCAGGAGUCAGGGAGCCAGAGCCUUCAGCCAGGCUGUUGCUCAAUGGCUCAGGGCCGGUGUUCGCAGAACGUCCUGGCCCAUCUGUCUUGGAGAGAGAAACAAAAGAUCGAGCAAUAACAUCAUCACUGGAUCCAGAGUCCUCACAGGAGCUGCAGAGGCCACUUUCAGAUACAGGCAAAAAGGCUACAGGAUCUGUCCUGCAGGGCUUGGAAGAAGAUGAUGCCUCAUCCCAGCUGCCCCUGACUGGCCUCCAAGCAUGUGAGACUUUCAUGAGAAACAGAGACUUGGGAAAAAUUGACUGUGCCUACCUAAAUGUUGCCCCCAGCAGACACUUCCGGUAACUAGUGGUUUGCUACUCGAAGAAUAGAAUUAAUGAGUACAGUUGAAGAAAGAUCUGAAUUACAAGAUUCAGUGACAAGAAUCUUAAAGAAACCAAGAUGAUAUGGAAUAAUAGAGCAAGUUCUUUUCAUGGUUAAAGAUUAGAAAUGGAGGGUAGACACAAAUGAUUGGCUUUGACAAGUCGAGGGGGUCACAAGUGAAGAGCCACAGAGAUCUGUUAUGGCCUGUGUGGACCAGUGCAUUCCCCUGUGACCUGGAAAGGGGGCAAGAUUUGCUGAUGACGCUGUGUCCAACAUAUUUAAAAAAGGGUUGGGAGACCACAGAGAAUUUUAUAAGGGCCUUAUGGCACUGAGUGACUGGCCAGUAACCUGGACAAUAAAAUUAAUUGUGGAUAAUAAAAGGUGAUGCA